UAUGAAGCAGAUGAGUGUGUACGACUCCCCCUAGGAGGGCACGCCAGUCCAUCGCAAGUCACUUCCCCAGCUGAGGCAUUUACAGCUGGGUGGA
This is a long non-coding RNA of Thalassophryne amazonica, 94 nucleotides long. RefSeq lists it as uncharacterized. The transcript has 3 exons. The record is from RefSeq and is a predicted model, not a curated record. NCBI's taxonomy places the organism in Eukaryota, Metazoa, Chordata, Actinopteri, Batrachoidiformes, Batrachoididae.